Molecule: ribosomal RNA, 119 nt
Filed under: Pteropus alecto (black flying fox)
Lineage: Eukaryota; Metazoa; Chordata; Mammalia; Chiroptera; Pteropodidae
Source: RNAcentral
GGCUACAGCCAGACCACCCUGAACAAGCCCCAUCCCGUCUGAUCUCGGAAACUAAGCAGGGUCGGGCCUGGUCGGUACUUGGAUGUGAGGCCACCUAGGAAGACCAGGUGAUGUAGGCA